CAUUCAUUGACUGGGGGAAAUUAGGUGAACGUUCGUCUGUAAUGCCCACUGCUCACGACAUACUUAUCAUAUAAAUUUAAACUGUGAGGUCACCAAAGGUUCUAAACGCCUAAAAAAAAUAAUUAAAAAUACUAAUCAGGAAUAACCUUUGUAAUUUGAAAAUAAAUAAAAAUGGCCUUCAACACGGAGUCUUGGCUCACACCGAACAGCAAGC
This 214-nucleotide long non-coding RNA is filed under the name Mytilus galloprovincialis (Mediterranean mussel). The record is from RNAcentral. Lineage: Eukaryota; Metazoa; Mollusca; Bivalvia; Mytilida; Mytilidae.